GGAAAAUAUUAGCUUAAUCCCAUUAAAUGGGAGCGGAGGAACCAAUUGUGGGGUGAAUCCUGUGCUUUGGCCCAGGUAGGGUUUUAACCUUUCGACCCGAACCCGUCAGCUAACUUCGUAAGCUAUAAAGAAAGGGAGG
This 139-nucleotide small RNA is filed under the name Desulforamulus putei. RNAcentral's name for it is "Desulfotomaculum putei c-di-AMP sequence". It matches the Rfam family "c-di-AMP riboswitch aptamer (ydaO/yuaA leader)". From Rfam's summary of the family: This family represents a conserved RNA structure found upstream of the ydaO and yuaA genes in Bacillus subtilis and related genes in other bacteria. Lineage: Bacteria; Bacillati; Bacillota; Clostridia; Eubacteriales; Peptococcaceae. The record is from RNAcentral.